ACCCUCUCAGGAUGGUAUCUGGAGAGUUUUCAGUACUCUACCAGUCUCAGCUACGAGAGGGAGAGUCAAGCAGGGACAUACCCAUUCCAUUCUUAGCUUGGGCAGUGGCUAGUGAAUGGAAAGCAAGCUGCUACAAGU
This is a small nucleolar RNA of Ornithorhynchus anatinus (platypus), 138 nucleotides long. Lineage: Eukaryota; Metazoa; Chordata; Mammalia; Monotremata; Ornithorhynchidae. The record is from RefSeq and is a predicted model, not a curated record.